GUGAGGAAGGUGGUGUCGUUAAUAGCGGCAUCAUUUGACGUUAGCAACAGAAGAAGCACCGGCUAACUCCGUGCCAGCAGCCGCGGUAAUACGGAGGGUGCGAGCGUUAAUCGGAAUUACUGGGCGUAAAGCGCAUGCAGGUGGUUUGUUAAGUCAGAUGUGAAAGCCCGGGGCUCAACCUCGGAACUGCAUUUGAAACUGGCAGACUAGAGUACUGUAGAGGGGGGUAGAAUUUCAGGUGUAGCGGUGAAAUGCGUAGAGAUCUGAAGGAAUACCGGUGGCGAAGGCGGCCCCCUGGACAGAUACUGACACUCAGAUGCGAAAGCGUGGGGAGCAAACAGGAUUAGAUACCCUGGUAGUCCACGCUGUAAACGAUGUCUACUUGGAGGUUGUGGCCUUGAGCCGUGGCUUUCGGAGCUAACGCGUUAAGUAGACCGCCUGGGGAGUACGGUCGCAAGAUUAAAACUCAAAUGAAUUGACGGGGGCCCGCACAAGCGGUGGAGCAUGUGGUUUAAUUCGAUGCAACGCGAAGAACCUUAC
Molecule: ribosomal RNA, 540 nt
Filed under: Vibrio vulnificus
Lineage: Bacteria; Pseudomonadati; Pseudomonadota; Gammaproteobacteria; Vibrionales; Vibrionaceae
Description: bacterial SSU rRNA
Rfam family: Bacterial small subunit ribosomal RNA
Source: RNAcentral